RNAcentral lists this ribosomal RNA (167 nucleotides) under Avicennia marina. RNAcentral's name for it is "5.8S ribosomal RNA". It matches the Rfam family "5.8S ribosomal RNA". Rfam says of the family: 5.8S ribosomal RNA (5.8S rRNA) is a component of the large subunit of the eukaryotic ribosome. It is transcribed by RNA polymerase I as part of the 45S precursor that also contains 18S and 28S rRNA. Functionally, it is thought that 5.8S rRNA may be involved in ribosome translocation. Lineage: Eukaryota; Viridiplantae; Streptophyta; Magnoliopsida; Lamiales; Acanthaceae. The record is from RNAcentral.
UGUCAAAACGACUCUCGGCAACGGAUAUCUCGGCUCUCGCAUCGAUGAAGAACGUAGCGAAAUGCGAUACUUGGUGUGAAUUGCAGAAUCCCGUGAACCAUCGAGUCUUUGAACGCAAGUUGCGCCCGAAGCCAUCAGGCCAGGGCACGUCUGCCUGGGCGUCACGC